CACUUCAGGAUGUACCACCCA
RNAcentral lists this microRNA (21 nucleotides) under Rattus norvegicus (Norway rat). RNAcentral describes it as "Rno-Mir-506-P2b_5p* (star (passenger))". The record is from RNAcentral. Lineage: Eukaryota; Metazoa; Chordata; Mammalia; Rodentia; Muridae.